This 497-nucleotide ribosomal RNA is filed under the name uncultured bacterium. RNAcentral describes it as "partial 16S ribosomal RNA". It matches the Rfam family "Bacterial small subunit ribosomal RNA", at positions 28 to 507 of the family's 1533-position model. The record is from RNAcentral.
GAUGAACGCUGGCGGCGUGCCUAAUACAUGCAAGUCGAGCGAACGGACGAGAAGCUUGCUUCUCUGAUGUUAGCGGCGGACGGGUGAGUAACACGUGGAUAACCUACCUAUAAGACUGGGAUAACUUCGGGAAACCGGAGCUAAUACCGGAUAAUAUUUUGAACCGCAUGGUUCAAAAGUAAAAGACGGUCUUGCUGUCACUUAUAGAUGGAUCCGCGCUGCAUUAGCUAGUUGGUAAGGUAACGGCUUACCAAGGCAACGAUGCAUAGCCGACCUGAGAGGGUGAUCGGCCACACUGGAACUGAGACACGGUCCAGACUCCUACGGGAGGCAGCAGUAGGGAAGCGUCCGCAAUGGGCGAAAGCCUGACGGAGCAACGCCGCGUGAGUGAUGAAGGUCUUCGGAUCGUAAAACUCUGUUAUUAGGGAAGAACAUAUGUGUAAGUAACUGUGCACAUCUUGACGGUACCUAAUCAGAAAGCCACGGCUAACUACGUG